UACAGAGGGGGCUAGCGUUGUUCGGAAUUACUGGGCGUAAAGGGCGCGUAGGCGGCCCGCUAAGUCGAACGUGAAAUCCCCGGGCUCAACCCGGGAACUGCGUCCGAUACUGGCAGGCUUGAAUCCGGGAGAGGGAUGUGGAAUUCCAGGUGUAGCGGUGAAAUGCGUAGAGAUCCGGAAGAACACCGGUGGCGAAGGCGGCCUGCUGGGGUGGAGCUGACGCUGAGGCGCGACAGCGUGGGGAGCAAACAGG
This 253-nucleotide ribosomal RNA is filed under the name uncultured bacterium. Its description in RNAcentral is "partial 16S ribosomal RNA". It matches the Rfam family "Bacterial small subunit ribosomal RNA", at positions 524 to 776 of the family's 1533-position model. The record is from RNAcentral.